UGGUAACAGCGCGGCGCGCGGUUCAAAUGUGUUUAUAGCCGGAAAAAACGACGAUUCGAACCGAAAUACCGAUUUGCGUACCUGUUUGCAUUGACAUAAGUCACGAUAAAACGAUCUCGAUCGGCCCGAUACAGACGCCCGAGUGGGCCACCAGACGUCGACACUGCAUGGUGUUCUUUGCGCGCGUCUUAUUCGCGUCGGUAAUGUCGGUUAGCAAAUGUGCCGUUAGUGAACGACCGAAUUUUAAUUUCACGAAUAAUACGCUCUUAAUUAGUCGUUAUUAGGUUUUGAAGAAACAUUUAAGAUUAAUUUUUUUCUCAAACGAACCAUCGUGAAACACGAAUUUUGCUCUUAAAUAAUACACGUAAAAGUGUUCAAUAUGAUAUAUAUUAUGUCUACCUGCUAGUUUUUCAUUGUAGAAUAUUGAGCCGCAUACCUCCCAGUCCAAAUCAAAUAAUUAAUUAAAAGAAGAAAAGUUUGAAAAAUAUAUCUUUAUCGGGCCACUGAGAAAAUUAUCAAAUUGGAAAAAAAGAAAAACACUACAAUACAUUCACGGACUAAUUGAACUACGAGUACGCCACCUAUACUUCAGAUAUACUAAAUACAAUGGCAGAUAAAAAUCAACCGCCGUCUUCCGAAAAUUAUCAGCACUUAAAGCUUCCAUGGCCUGAAAAUUCAUUAAUGCAAAGGCGGAUGAAUAGAUAUGUUGCUGAAUGGGAAAGACAAAAAGUCGAUGCUGCAAAUAAUAAAAUGGACGAAGUUAAGAAAAAAGAAAAUACCUUGGCACCGCAAAAUAAAACUAAAAAAGAUAAACAAUAGGGAUGCCUUUUAACCAAUCUACAUUGUACUAUUUAUUAUGAACUGUUAAUAUGUAUAUUAUUAUUUUUUAUAUUUUAAUGUAAAAAUGUUUUAUUUUUAUAUUAUGUUUUUAACA
Long non-coding RNA from Rhopalosiphum padi (bird cherry-oat aphid), 934 nucleotides. RefSeq lists it as uncharacterized. The record is from RefSeq and is a predicted model, not a curated record. The transcript has 3 exons. NCBI's taxonomy places the organism in Eukaryota, Metazoa, Arthropoda, Insecta, Hemiptera, Aphididae.